Molecule: ribosomal RNA, 250 nt
Filed under: uncultured bacterium
Lineage: Bacteria
Description: partial 16S ribosomal RNA
Rfam family: Bacterial small subunit ribosomal RNA
Source: RNAcentral
UACGGAGGGCGCAAGCGUUGUUCGGAAUCAUUGGGCGUAAAGCGCGUGUAGGUGGCUUGGCAAGUCGGGUGUGAAAUCCCGGGGCUCAACCCCGGAACUGCAUUCGAUACUGCCUCGCUAGAGUCCCGGAGAGGAGGGCGGAAUUCCCGGUGUAGAGGUGAAAUUCGUAGAUAUCGGGAGGAACACCAGUGGCGAAGGCGGCCCUCUGGACGGUGACUGACACUGAGAUGCGAAAGCGUGGGGAGCAAAC